GUAGGGUGCAAGCGUUAAUCGGAAUUACUGGGCGUAAAGCGUGCGCAGGCGGUUAUGCAAGACAGAGGUGAAAUCCCCGGGCUCAACCUGGGAACUGCCUUUGUGACUGCAUGGCUAGAGUACGGUAGAGGGGGAUGGAAUUCCGCGUGUAGCAGUGAAAUGCGUAGAUAUGCGGAGGAACACCGAUGGCGAAGGCAAUCCCCUGGACCUGUACUGACGCUCAUGCACGAGAGCGUGGGGAGCAAACAGGAUUAGAUACCCUGGUAGUCCCACGCCCUAAACGAUGUCAACUGGUUGUUGGGAGGGUUUCUUCUCAGUAACGUAGCUAACGCGUGAAGUUGACCCGCCUGGGAGUACGGCCGCAAGGUUG
RNAcentral lists this ribosomal RNA (370 nucleotides) under uncultured organism. Its description in RNAcentral is "partial 16S ribosomal RNA". It matches the Rfam family "Bacterial small subunit ribosomal RNA", at positions 527 to 896 of the family's 1533-position model. The record is from RNAcentral.